Molecule: ribosomal RNA, 499 nt
Filed under: uncultured bacterium
Lineage: Bacteria
Description: partial 16S ribosomal RNA
Rfam family: Bacterial small subunit ribosomal RNA
Source: RNAcentral
GAUGAACGCUGGCGGCGUGCCUAAUACAUGCAAGUCGAGCGAACAGACGAGAGUGCUUGCACUCUCUGACGUUAGCGGCGGACGGGUGAGUAACACGUGGGUAACCUACCUAUAAGACUGGGAUAACUUCGGGAAACCGGAGCUAAUACCGGAUAAUAUUUAGCUUCGCAUGAAGCAAUAGUGAAAGACGAUUCUGCUGUCACUUAUAGAUGGACCCGCGGUGUAUUAGCUAGUUGGUGAGGUAACGGCUCACCAAGGCAACGAUACAUAGCCGACCUGAGAGGGUGAUCGGCCACACUGGGACUGAGACACGGCCCAGACUCCUACGGGAGGCAGCAGUAGGGAAUCUUCCGCAAUGGACGAAAGUCUGACGGAGCAAUGCCGCGUGAGUGAAGAAGGUUUUCGGAUCGUAAAACUCUGUUGUAAGGGAAGAACAAGGACGUUAGUAACUGAACGUACCUUGACGGUACCUUACCAGAAAGCCACGGCUAACUACGUG